RNAcentral lists this long non-coding RNA (379 nucleotides) under Medicago truncatula (barrel medic). Its description in RNAcentral is "lncRNA gene7853". The record is from RNAcentral. Lineage: Eukaryota; Viridiplantae; Streptophyta; Magnoliopsida; Fabales; Fabaceae.
UUUGUCAAUUUCAAUGCAAAUGUGUUGUUUUUUUAUGACAGAGUUAAACUCACUAGGUUUGUGAGAUUAUUAAAAUGAAUAUUUGUCAUUAUACCCUCCCAAUAAUUCUCAAGUAGUUUUAGAUAAUACAAAUUGGUAAGUUGACUGAUACAUUCAGGAAUUAUACCAGUCAUCAUGUUAUUCUCCAAGCUCAGAUGAUUUAGAUUUGAUAAGUUUCCUAUAGAGGUUGGUAUAUGACCUGAGAUACCUGAGUGUGAAUUGACAGAGUUGUUUGAAAGAUCAAGAAAGAACAAACUGUUAAAUUGCCCUAAAGAAUGAGGCAAUUUCCCAGUUAGUUGAUUAAACCUUAAAUCUAAAAACUCUAGGCUUUGGUUGCUAC